GGGAAACUGGGUCUAAUACUGGAUAGGACCAUUCCUCGCAUGGGGUUUGGUGGAAAGUUUUUCGGUACGAGAUGGGCCCGCGGCCUAUCAGCUUGUUGGUGGGGUAAUGGCCUACCAAGGCGACGACGGGUAGCCGGCCUGAGAGGGCGACCGGCCACACUGGGACUGAGACACGGCCCAGACUCCUACGGGAGGCAGCAGUGGGGAAUAUUGCACAAUGGGCGCAAGCCUGAUGCAGCGACGCCGCGUGAGGGAUGACGGCCUUCGGGUUGUAAACCUCUUUCACCAGGGGCGAACUAAGGACGGUACCUGGAGAAGAAGCACCGGCCAACUACGUGCCAGCAGCCGCGGUAAUACGUAGGGUGCGAGCGUUGUCCGGAAUUACUGGGCGUAAAGAGCUCGUAGGCGGUUUGUCGCGUCGUUCGUGAAAACCCGAUGCUUAACAUCGGGCGUGCGGGCGAUACGGGCAGACUUGAGUACUACAGGGGAGACUGGAAUUCCUGGUGUAGCGGUGAAAUGCGCAGAUAUCAGGAGGAACACCGGUGGCGAAGGCGGG
Molecule: ribosomal RNA, 556 nt
Filed under: Williamsia sp. PCSM86
Lineage: Bacteria; Bacillati; Actinomycetota; Actinomycetes; Mycobacteriales; Nocardiaceae
Description: bacterial SSU rRNA
Rfam family: Bacterial small subunit ribosomal RNA
Source: RNAcentral